AGGACGAACGCUGGCGGCGUGCUUAACACAUGCAAGUCGAGCGGAAAGGCCCUUUCGGGGGUACUCGAGUGGCGAACGGGUGAGUAACACGUGGGUGAUCUGCCCUGCACUUCGGGAUAAGCUUGGGAAACUGGGUCUAAUACCGGAUAGGACUACGGACUUCAUGGUUUGUGGUGGAAAGCUUUUGCGGUGUGGGAUGGGCCCGCGGCCUAUCAGCUUGUUGGUGGGGUGAUGGCCUACCAAGGCGACGACGGGUA
This 257-nucleotide ribosomal RNA is filed under the name uncultured bacterium. RNAcentral's name for it is "partial small subunit ribosomal RNA". It matches the Rfam family "Bacterial small subunit ribosomal RNA", at positions 26 to 285 of the family's 1533-position model. The record is from RNAcentral.